GAUGAACGCUGGCGGCGUGCCUAAUACAUGCAAGUCGAGCGAACAGACGAGGAGCUUGCUCCCUUGACGUUAGCGGGGGACGGGUGAGUAACACGUGGAUAACCUCCUUAUAAGACUGGGAAAAUUUCGGAAAACGGGAGCAAAUACGGGAUAAUAUAUUGAACCGCAGGGUUCAUUGGUGAAAGACGGUUUUGCUGUCACUAAUAGAUGAAUCCGCGCCGCAUUAGCUAGUUGGUAGGGUAACGGCUUACCAAGGCAACGAUGCGUAGCCGACCUGAGAGGGUGAUCGGCCACACUGGAACUGAGACACGGUCCAGACUCCUACGGGAGGCAGCAGUAGGGAAUCUUCCGCAAUGGGCGAAAGCCUGACGGAGCAACGCCGCGUGAGUGAUGAAGGUCUUCGGAUCGUAAAACUCUGUUAUUAGGGAAGAACAAAUGUGUAAGUAACUAUGCACGUCUUGACGGUACCUAAUCAGAAAGCCACGGCUAACUACGUG
Molecule: ribosomal RNA, 497 nt
Filed under: uncultured bacterium
Lineage: Bacteria
Description: partial 16S ribosomal RNA
Rfam family: Bacterial small subunit ribosomal RNA
Source: RNAcentral